AUUCAGCUGACGAGUCCCAAAUAGGAUGAAACUGGAGUCUUGAAU
RNAcentral lists this non-coding RNA (45 nucleotides) under Schistosoma mansoni. Lineage: Eukaryota; Metazoa; Platyhelminthes; Trematoda; Strigeidida; Schistosomatidae. The record is from RNAcentral.